GGGCCGGGGGCGGCUGCGUCAUGACUCUGCCAGCUGAUCCGGGACGGAGCCGGCGCGGCGGGGGAGGCGGCGGCACCGGCACCGGGAACAGGGACCCGCCACGGCCCGGGCGGCACCGGUGGGACCGGACCCGCAGGAGGCUCCUGGCCCCUGGCCAGGUGGGACCCUGCCAGCGCCGAUGGAUGCCCGAGGUGCUUCCAUGCCCCCCCUGCUCCUGGCUAACCAGCACCAGUUCUUCAGUGGCAAGCUUUAUGUCCUUCUCCAGUAGCUAAAGCUGCCAGUUGAAGAACUGUUGAAUGUAGCCACUCUCUUCUUGUCACUGGGACCUUGGAUGCCAGCCAGACCCGCGCCCUGAGCGACCAGGAUGAGCCAGUCUGAAGUGUCCUGUGGAUGAGUCCAGCCGGGAUGAAGAAGUCUCCCCACAGCCUCCAGACAGAGCCUUGGCUGGGGGAUUGCCAGGCAGCCCUGUCAGCGGGGUCUCGCUGCAGUGGGGUGUCACUGAGCUGAGAGGAGACCAAAAGAGGCAUUAAACUUUCCUUUUCGCUCAACA
Molecule: long non-coding RNA, 550 nt
Organism: Corapipo altera (White-ruffed manakin)
Lineage: Eukaryota; Metazoa; Chordata; Aves; Passeriformes; Pipridae
Exons: 3
Source: RefSeq, a predicted model, not a curated record